Molecule: small nucleolar RNA, 107 nt
Organism: Suncus etruscus (white-toothed pygmy shrew)
Lineage: Eukaryota; Metazoa; Chordata; Mammalia; Eulipotyphla; Soricidae
Product: small nucleolar RNA U13
Exons: 1
Source: RefSeq, a predicted model, not a curated record
AUCUUUUUCUAGUUCACAAGCAUGAUAAUUCGGUGUUCACACUUUUGUGAGAUUUUUGCCUUCCUUAAAUCUUGUUAUAAUGUUGACACAUUUUUACUGGAGUGAGA